This 72-nucleotide transfer RNA is filed under the name Ovis aries (sheep). It matches the Rfam family "tRNA". Rfam says of the family: Transfer RNA (tRNA) molecules are approximately 80 nucleotides in length. Their secondary structure includes four short double-helical elements and three loops (D, anti-codon, and T loops). The record is from Rfam by way of RNAcentral. Lineage: Eukaryota; Metazoa; Chordata; Mammalia; Artiodactyla; Bovidae.
UCCCUGGUGGCUCAGACGGUAGAGCGUCUGCCUGCAAUGCAGGAGACCCGGGUUCGAUCCCUGGGUUGGGAA